GAUGAAGAACGUAGCGAAAUGCGAUACGUAAUGUGAAUUGCAGAUUUCAGUGAAUCAUCGAAUCUUUGAACGCACAUUGCGCCCGCCAGUAUUCUGGCGGGCAUGCCUGUUCGAGCGUCAUUUCAACCAUCAAGCGCCUCGCUUGUGUUGGGGCCCUGCGGCUGCCGCAGGCCCCUAAAUCCAGUGGCGGGCUCGUCGUCGUACCGAGUGCAGUAAACAUCCUCGCUCAGGGAACCCGACGGGUGCCGGCCGUGAAACCCCCCCUCCUCAAGGUUGACCUCGGAUCAGGUAGGAAUACCCGCUGAACUUAAGCAUAUCAAUAAGCGGAGG
RNAcentral lists this unclassified non-coding RNA (330 nucleotides) under soil metagenome. RNAcentral describes it as "partial contains 5.8S ribosomal RNA, internal transcribed spacer 2, and large subunit ribosomal RNA". The stretch from base 1 to 120 matches the Rfam family "5.8S ribosomal RNA", at positions 35 to 154 of the family's 154-position model. The record is from RNAcentral.